CCUACGGGGGGCAGCAGUGGGGAAUAUUGGACAAUGGGGGGAACCCUGAUCCAGCCAUGCCGCGUGUGUGCAGAAGGCCCUCGGGUUGUAAAGCACUUUCAGUGAGGAAGAACGCCUGGUGGUUAAUACCCAUCAGGAAAGACAUCACUCACAGAAGAAGCACCGGCUAACUCCGUGCCAGCAGCCGCGGUAAUACGGAGGGUGCGAGCGUUAAUCGGAAUUACUGGGCGUAAAGCGCGCGUAGGUGGCUUGAUAAGCCGGUUGUGAAAGCCCCGGGCUCAACCUGGGAACGGCAUCCGGAACUGUCAAGCUAGAGUGCAUGAGAGGAAGGUAGAAAUCCCGGUGUAGCGGUGAAAUUCGUUGAGAUCGGGAGGAAUACCAGUUGCGAAGGUGGCCUUCUGGACUGACACUGACACUGAGGUGCGAAAGCGUGGGUAGCAAACAGGAUUAGAUACCCUGGUAGUC
Molecule: ribosomal RNA, 465 nt
Filed under: Vreelandella stevensii
Lineage: Bacteria; Pseudomonadati; Pseudomonadota; Gammaproteobacteria; Oceanospirillales; Halomonadaceae
Description: partial 16S ribosomal RNA
Rfam family: Bacterial small subunit ribosomal RNA
Source: RNAcentral